RNAcentral lists this ribosomal RNA (306 nucleotides) under Triticum aestivum (bread wheat). Its description in RNAcentral is "partial small subunit ribosomal RNA". The record is from RNAcentral. Lineage: Eukaryota; Viridiplantae; Streptophyta; Magnoliopsida; Poales; Poaceae.
AGCAAGAGGACCAAGGCAUACGCGGCGGCCGAGGACAAGCUUCUUUGCGAGUGUUGGAGAGACAUUGGGCAAGACCCCAAGACGGGCGCCGAACAAAAGCAUACAACUUUUUGGAUUCGUGUCCACCAUGAGUUCCAUGAGCGCAAGAAGUUUCCGCCGUACCAAAUAGUAAGCGCGCGCGGGUGGGUGUCCAUUUCGAAGCGAUGGAGGGUGAUCCAACAAGAGUGCAACAAGUUUUGUGCCACUCUUGAGAGCGUCAAGGUCCGCCCCGUGGGCGGCAUUGGCAUGCAAGACAUGGUAUGCUAG